This 167-nucleotide ribosomal RNA is filed under the name Escherichia coli O177:NM str. 2010C-4558. RNAcentral's name for it is "partial 16S ribosomal RNA". It matches the Rfam family "Bacterial small subunit ribosomal RNA", at positions 1 to 159 of the family's 1533-position model. Lineage: Bacteria; Pseudomonadati; Pseudomonadota; Gammaproteobacteria; Enterobacterales; Enterobacteriaceae. The record is from RNAcentral.
UUAAAUUGAAGAGUUUGAUCAUGGCUCAGAUUGAACGCUGGCGGCAGGCCUAACACAUGCAAGUCGAACGGUAACAGGAAGCAGCUUGCUGCUUCGCUGACGAGUGGCGGACGGGGGAGUAAUGUCUGGGAAACUGCCUGAUGGAGGGGGGUAACUACUGGAAACGG